Vulpes vulpes (red fox) is the source of this 112-nucleotide ribosomal RNA. The record is from Ensembl. NCBI's taxonomy places the organism in Eukaryota, Metazoa, Chordata, Mammalia, Carnivora, Canidae.
GUCUUUGGCCAUACUGCCCUGAACGCACCCAAUCUUGUCUGAUCUCAGAAACUAAGGAGGGUUGAGCCUGGUUAGUGCUUGGAUGGGAGAAAUAUCAUAUGAUCCAAUAAUU